GUGGUCGACUGCCGUAGAAACUUGGAUGGAGUCUGGUUAUGGUACAAGUCCUGCUGUUGGGGAAGCUCGAUCAUUAAUGAAGUCUGAAGGAAGUUUGGAGUAGAGUCGGUUGUGGCUGGAAGAAGUCUGGAAGAGAUUCGGAGAAUAGUCGAUCACUGCAGAAAAUCUGCUGAUAUUGAAGCCCAAAGAGCAUUUGGAGCAGCCCAGUACGUGAAUGGAGGGGCUCAUUAUCAGAGAAGUUUGGAUGGUAAUAUAGAAGCUCGGAUGGUCGAGGGAGUUCAGAAAGACGCCACACAAGGUCGGAAGCCGGAGAAGCCCUGGAAGAGUCGACCGUUUACCAACUUCGGCUGAGGUUAUUUUACACCCAACAAGAACAAUCAUUGUUCUUUGCUUUUAUUUCAAAAUCUUGUUC
Molecule: long non-coding RNA, 412 nt
Filed under: Elaeis guineensis (African oil palm)
Lineage: Eukaryota; Viridiplantae; Streptophyta; Magnoliopsida; Arecales; Arecaceae
Description: long non-coding RNA (EGUI_LNC078160)
Source: RNAcentral